This 365-nucleotide unclassified non-coding RNA is filed under the name uncultured fungus. RNAcentral's name for it is "sequence contains ITS1". The stretch from base 1 to 105 matches the Rfam family "5.8S ribosomal RNA", at positions 50 to 154 of the family's 154-position model. Lineage: Eukaryota; Fungi. The record is from RNAcentral.
GAAAUGCGAUACGUAGUGUGAAUUGCAGAAUACCGUGAAUCAUCGAAUCUUUGAACGCAUAUUGCGCUCGAGGCCUCGGCCGAGAGCAUGUCUGCCUCAGCGUCGGGUUAAUAUCGCCCCCUCUACUCCCUAGGAGUGUGAACGGAGCGGACCUGGCCGUUCCACCGCAUUUGUACUUGUGCAAUACGCAGUGGAUUGGCUGAAGAAUAGAGGCUAGCUCAAGGACCCGUCAUGGGCCGCAUCUGGGUAGGCAGCUUCGGCUCCAUUUCUAGAUGUUGGCUUGGGACUUUGUCGGCUUGGCCCUCAACCAGGAACCCACUUAUUUUCUCGACCUGAGCUCAGGCAAGAACACCCGCUGAACUUAA